RNAcentral lists this ribosomal RNA (253 nucleotides) under uncultured bacterium. RNAcentral's name for it is "partial 16S ribosomal RNA". It matches the Rfam family "Bacterial small subunit ribosomal RNA", at positions 524 to 776 of the family's 1533-position model. The record is from RNAcentral.
UACAGAGGGGGCAAGCGUUAUUCGGAAUUAUUGGGCGUAAAGGGCGCGUAGGCGGCUUUGCAAGUGACGGGUGAAAUCCCUCGGCUUAACCGAGGAACUGCCUGUCAGACUGCAUGGCUUGAGACCGGGAGAGGUGAGUGGAAUUCCCAGUGUAGCGGUGAAAUGCGCAGAUAUCAGGAAGACCACCCGUGGCGAAAGCGGCUCUCUGGAACGGUACUGACGCUGAGACGCGAAAGCGUGGGGAGCGAACAGG